This 116-nucleotide transfer RNA is filed under the name Hypoxylon sp. FL1857. RNAcentral describes it as "tRNA-Leu". It matches the Rfam family "tRNA". From Rfam's summary of the family: Transfer RNA (tRNA) molecules are approximately 80 nucleotides in length. Their secondary structure includes four short double-helical elements and three loops (D, anti-codon, and T loops). Further hydrogen bonds mediate the characteristic L-shaped molecular structure. tRNAs have two regions of fundamental functional importance: the anti-codon, which is responsible for specific mRNA codon recognition, and the 3' end, to which the tRNAs corresponding amino acid is attached (by aminoacyl-tRNA synthetases). tRNAs cope with the degeneracy of the genetic code in two manners: having more than one tRNA (with a specific anti-codon) for a particular amino acid; and 'wobble' base-pairing, i.e. permitting non-standard base-pairing at the 3rd anti-codon position. The record is from RNAcentral. Lineage: Eukaryota; Fungi; Ascomycota; Sordariomycetes; Xylariales; Hypoxylaceae.
GGCAAGAUGGCCGAGUUGGUUAUGGCGUGAGGUUAAGGUGAUCACCCUUAGCAAUAAGAUCUAGCAUCUAAUUCCUCAUGGAGCAAUCCGCGUGGGUUCAAGUCCCACUCUUGUCA